UGGCUCAGAACGAACGCUGGCGCCGCGCUUAACACAUGCAAGUCGAGCGAGAACCAGGGCUUCGGCCCUGGGGAAAGCGGCGAACGGGUGAGUAACACGUGAGUCAUCCACCCUCGGUACCGGGAUAACCGAGGGAAACUUCGGCUAAUACCGCAUGCGCCCGCGGAGUUGAUCCGCGGGGAAAGAUUUAUCGCAGCAGGAGGGGCCCGCGUCGGAUUAGCUGGUUGGUGGGGUAACGGCCCACCAAGGCGAUGAUCCGUAGCUGGUCUGAGAGGAUGAUCAGCCACACUGGGACUGAGACACGGCCCAGACUCCUACGGGAGGCAGCAGUGGG
Molecule: ribosomal RNA, 334 nt
Filed under: uncultured bacterium
Lineage: Bacteria
Description: bacterial SSU rRNA
Rfam family: Bacterial small subunit ribosomal RNA
Source: RNAcentral